Long non-coding RNA from Astatotilapia calliptera (eastern happy), 1025 nucleotides. The record is from Ensembl. Lineage: Eukaryota; Metazoa; Chordata; Actinopteri; Cichliformes; Cichlidae.
GCCGUCGGUAUUUUCAGAGAACGAAAUUUUUCAAACUAAGCUGACGUUUCAGCCUUUUUCCCCCACAUGAAUGCCUGCUAACAGAAAUAUGAAAGCAGUUUCACACAACCAGUGAGUGAAAGUUAAACCUACUGUUCUCUCCAAUAAGCAGGUAACCAUUGUUAAAUCUGCAUUAUACUCAGUCAGAGAGCGUGCAUGAAUGGAUCUGAGAUAAUGUAAUUUACUGGUUACAAGUUUGGUUACGGCAGAAUUUUUUUAGGCCUGUAUUGUUUUAUUUUUGGCUUUGAAAGCUAAAGGGAACUGAAUUUAUAGUGGAUUUUGGACUCUUUCAGCUUAGUUUUUUUUUUUUUAUUCAUUAUGACAUUUGUGUCAGGGGUGAGAUUUAAUAAGUUUAAAACAUCUAUUAAAAUACAAACACUGUUUUCAUAAAUCUGGGGGGGCUCUGUUGACAAAUUUGAAUCUUGCAAAACUUUUGUGAUUACAAACUAAUGUUUUUGUUCUUUUCAACAUCUGAAUUUGGUAUUAACAAAAUAAAAACGCUGGCAAGCGAAGGAAGCGGUGCUCACAAGCACCAGGUUCAGAUGUCAGGCGAGGGGCAACCAAUCAGAAGAAAGUGGGCUUUUACUCUUUUCUGCCAUAAAGACAUCUGACAACCUCCCCCAGUACCCUAGAUCGUCAGGGUUGACAAUUCAGUAUAUAGAUGUGGCUAUCUACACAUCUAUCUGGAGUAAUUUCCAGGUUUUUCCAAGGGUAUACCUAGACCUGAUGCGUAGCCAGUCAUUUUGUUCUGGAAGCAGGUCAGACACCAGUUCGGGAAAGAGAAACAAGGGUGACCAGAAGAAGGUAUCCGAGGGUGAAGAAUUAAAAUAUGCAAGUCUUAAAGAGAUGGCUUGUUUCGCACAGAGGAUGAGCUGCAUAAAGACCCAGUUUAAGAUGCUUUUAAACUCAUCCUCAUCCUGUUUAACACAACUUUAUUCUAAUUGGCUGCCCCUUGCAAACUUGUGGGUGGAGCUUGUGAGAUGACC